UGGGGAAUAUUGCACAAUGGAGGGAACUCUGAUGCAGCGACGCCGCGUGAACGAAGAAGGCUUUCGAGUCGUAAAGUUCUUUUAUAUGGGAAGAUAAUGACGGUACCACAAGAAAAAGCCCCGGCUAACUACGUGCCAGCAGCCGCGGUAAUACGUAGGGGGCUAGCGUUGUCCGGAAUCACUGGGCGUAAAGGGUUCGCAGGCGGAAAUGCAAGUCAGGUGUAAAAGGCAGUAGCUUAACUACUGUAAGCAUUUGAAACUGCAUAUCUUGAGAAGAGUAGAGGUAAGUGGAAUUUUUAGUGUAGCGGUGAAAUGCGUAGAUAUUAAAAAGAAUACCGGUGGCGAAGGCGACUUACUGGGCUCAUUCUGACGCUGAGGAACGAAAGCGUGGGUAGCAAACAGG
Molecule: ribosomal RNA, 403 nt
Filed under: bacterium
Lineage: Bacteria
Also listed under: 2 other names
Description: partial 16S ribosomal RNA
Rfam family: Bacterial small subunit ribosomal RNA
Source: RNAcentral